GGGGGUUAGCUUGGCAGCUGGGUUCUCUGUCUACGCGGAAGUGGGAAAAGUAUUGCGAUCUUCUCUACCCCGUGGCAAGGUCAUCUAAAUGAGUUGUGGGAAAUUCAAUGAAUAAAACAUUAUAUAUAAAUAGGGGCAAGACUCGAGCUGGGUGCUUACUUCUGAUCGUCGCAGACUGUGGUGGUUUCUAUCAUAGUAUUACAGGUUCAACCACAGUCUGCUGAGUUCUCUUUUGUUCUCUGCAGCCCCCAGGCACCCAAAGUAUGCCAGUUCCUUGUCAGUGCCCCGAAUCAGGUGAGAGACAAAGCAGUCCCUUAGCAUCCCCUCUCCCCCAAAAUCUAGA
Equus quagga is the source of this 343-nucleotide long non-coding RNA. RefSeq lists it as uncharacterized. The transcript has 3 exons. The record is from RefSeq and is a predicted model, not a curated record. Lineage: Eukaryota; Metazoa; Chordata; Mammalia; Perissodactyla; Equidae.